GAAGCCCAUGGGCUGGUAACACCCACCUAAGUAAGUUGGCGGCUCCCGGUUGUUCUAUUUCAGUUGCGUCUGUCUUCCCUCUACAACCCACGUUUUAAACAAAAAUCUCAGUCUUGUUUUUCCGAUUUAAAACAUCAACAUGGCUAAACCCAAGCAACACAAGAAACCACCACAGAAGAAGCCACAAAACCCACAAAACAAGAAGCAGGGAAAACAGGAUGAUCCUUCUCAAUUUCGGAGUCAGGUGGAUGCUCUAGGCCUUCGCAUUGUCGAAGUGACAGCAGACGGUAAUUGUUUCUUCAGAGCCCUUGCUGAUCAGUUGGAAGGUAAUGAGGAGGAACAUCAAAAGUACCGCAGCAUGGUGGUGAAACACAUAUUGGACAACCGGGAGAUGUUUGAGCCCUUUAUUGAAGAUGAAGUCCCAUUUGAUGAUUAUUGCCAGACCAUGGAAAAUGAUGGUACUUGGGCUGGAAAUAUGGAAUUGCAGGCAGCUUCUCUUGUAACACAUAGUAACAUAUGCAUCCAUCGGAACAUGUUUCCUCGGUGGUACAUAAGAAAUUUCGAUGAUUCUCAAGUUCACAUGGUCCAUUUGUCUUAUCAUGAUGGGGAGCAUUAUAAUAGUGUGCGGUUAAAGGAUGAUCCUUGCGAUGGACCUGCAAGGUCAAUUGUAAUUAAGGCGGAUGCCGAUCUUUCAGCGCCAUCUCAUCUACCGAAAGAUAGGGCCAGCAAACCGUAUGCUCAAGCUGGUAUGAAAACUUUUCAGCCCGGGUUAGUAAAGGUGGUUAUGGCUGGAAGUGGAUGUGAAAACAGAGAAAAAGUGGAACAGAUUCUAAAGCAGGUAAAUGGAGAUGUUGAUGCUGCAAUAGAGUUUCUAAUAGCAGAACAAGGAGCAGAAGAAUGCUCUUCAAAUUCUGAAUGCAUUCCUAGUCAGGCUAGUACUACUGGUUGCGAUGAAAAUGAGAGUCAUGAGAAGCACAAAGAAAACAUGGUAGAGGAGAGCAGUCACAGCACUAAUGAUGAAGUGAGCAACAGCUCCACAAAAGCCAAUGAUAAUAUCACAUUGCAACAAAAUGACAAGAAGAUUCCAAGAAACAGAGUCUGCCCGUGCGGUUCAAAAAAGAAAUACAAAGCUUGUUGUGGAACUUCGUCGGGGAAACAAUCUGCUAAGUUUCUAGUUAACCAAGCCGCUGACUCCAGAAGGAACAAAAAAGAUACGAAGAAAGGGAUUUCUGCAAAAGCUGGAGUAUCUUGUGAAUAUGACUCAGUGACACGUGAUAUGGGUGCACUUUGUAUCUAAUAUGAUAACAAAUAAAAUUUUGUGCUCCCCAAGACGAGCGAAACUGCUGACAGAAGCAAAAUUGCAAACUGGGAAAGGAUAUACAGAAGGAGAGAUAAUGAUGUUAAAUUAUUUGAAAUUUGUAUUGCUAAAGUAAGAUACUUUUGGGAAGAAUGUGCAAAUCUUGAUUGUAUAUAUUUUUUCUCAUGGGAGAUCUUGAAUAAGAAACCAGUUUUAACAGAAA
Molecule: RNA transcript, 1520 nt
Organism: Medicago truncatula (barrel medic)
Lineage: Eukaryota; Viridiplantae; Streptophyta; Magnoliopsida; Fabales; Fabaceae
Gene name: OVARIAN TUMOR DOMAIN-containing deubiquitinating enzyme 7
Exons: 13
Source: RefSeq, a predicted model, not a curated record